This 1480-nucleotide long non-coding RNA is filed under the name Homo sapiens (human). RNAcentral's name for it is "non-protein coding lnc-PTTG1-9:1". Lineage: Eukaryota; Metazoa; Chordata; Mammalia; Primates; Hominidae. The record is from RNAcentral.
GCAGCAUUUCACUAUGUUGCCCAGGCUGGUCUUGAACUCCUGGGUGCAGGUGGUCCUCCUGCCUUAGUAUCCUGAGUAGCGGGGACUCCAGGUGCAUGUUACCAUGCCCAGCUGUAUACAAACUUAUUGAGUACCCCCUAUGUGCCAGGCUCUGUGACACAACGGUGAACAAAAGAAGCACAAAUCUAUACAUUUGGAGGGCUUAUAGUGCAGAGAAGAAGUUCUCAUAAAAAUUGCUGGGGGUCACUAAGCCCAGCUAGCUAAUUUUUAAUUUUCUGUAGAGACAAGGUCUUGCCAUGUUGCCCAGGCUGGUCUUGAACUCCUGGGCUCAAGCAAUGCUCCUAUCUCAGCCUCCCAGUGUGCUGGGAUUACAGGCAUGAGCCACCACACCCAGCCCUGAGGUGGAUUUUUUUUUCAAUAGAGAAAAUCUAAGAGGUAAUACCAGUAGGCAAAUGCUUAAAUGGAUUACAGACUGGAAAACAAGAUGGCAGCAAACCAAGAUACAUUUUUUUGGUCAACAAAUGAUGUUGGAAAAUGCCUGGAAAACAUGAGUGAAAAUGUGAACAGACAAUCAUUAGAACGAAUUAUUCAGCGGGAAGUUUGCCACACAAUUGGAUGAAACUACAAGAUAUUAUUACUGUAUCUGGAAAAGGUUAUGUUUCAAAGAUGAAGUGCACAAAGAACUCCUUUUUCAUGAGCCACCAAAGAAAGGACUACCAGAGAAGGUAUUUUCUCAACUGUAAAUGACCUCUUUAAUUAAAACAAUAUGUUAUUGAAAAAAAAUUGCUGGGGGUGUCUUUUAAAAAUGCUGACGUGUGGACCCACCCUUAGAAGUCUGGAUUCUGCAGUUGUGGGCGUAGGUCCAGGAGUCUUCAUGUCGUACAUGCACCAGAGGGUUCUGCUGUAGGCCUUUUGAGACUGCACUGGUGAAUAUAUGCAAUAACCAAUAUAUGGUUAUUGCUGAUUGGAGAGGGAUUAGUAGUGACUUUAAUUUUUUUUUAUUCCUUAUGUUUUGUAAAUUUCUACUCUAAGUAAGAUUUUUUUUAAUAAUUAGAAAAAAGUAAACAUUUUAUAUGUUUAAAUAUGCAGCAUCUAUGCCCCUCCUGUCUGCCUUCCCCUAUGCCCAGCACAAUUCUCAUUUCUUGCACAGUAACAGAAGAACAUCACACAGACUUCAGAUUAGGAAACGCCUCUGGAAUGGAUGAUGGGGGCUGUGAUUCUCAGAUAGCUGUAAAAUCACAAAGAGAAGGUAGAAAAUUUCUUGCCCAAAUCAUCUGCUUUUGUUUGAAUGUGCUCCAGCCCUGUCUCUCUUAGGCAAAUAAACCUCUUUAAAGAUGCAUUUCAUUUGCUUUCUUUUUCUUGCAAAUUCUCUUGACCUUGAGAUGUAUCCAGUGGCUCUGGUAAUUGGUGCAGUUUCCAGAGUCAUUUGUAUGGACAUUGUGUAAUGCAGACGUACAGGGAGAAAUCUCCACAGUCAUCC